AGUCGAACGGGCUCUUCGGAGCAAGUGGCGGACGGGUGAGUAACGCGUGAGAAUGUGCCUUGAGGAUGGGGAUAACAAUAGGAAACUAAUGCUAAGACCCAAUGUGCCUUAAGUGGUGAAAAAUGAAAAUUGCCUGAAGAGGAGCUCGCGUCUGAUUAGCUAGUUGGGGUGGUAAAAGCGCACCAAGGCGACGAUCAGUAGCUGGUCUGAGAGGAUGAGCAGCCACACUGGGACUGAGACACGGCCCAGACUCCUACGGGAGGCAGCAGUGGGGAAUUUUCCGCAAUGGGCGAAAGCCUGACGGAGCAAUACCGCGUGAGGGAGGAAGGCUCUUGGGUUGUAAACCUCAAAACUUAGGGAAGAAAAAAUGACGGUACCUAAUAUAAGCAUCGGCUAACUCCGUGCCAGCAGCCGCGGUAAUACG
RNAcentral lists this ribosomal RNA (424 nucleotides) under uncultured bacterium. RNAcentral describes it as "bacterial SSU rRNA". It matches the Rfam family "Bacterial small subunit ribosomal RNA", at positions 60 to 527 of the family's 1533-position model. The record is from RNAcentral.